Molecule: microRNA, 19 nt
Filed under: Ophiophagus hannah (king cobra)
Lineage: Eukaryota; Metazoa; Chordata; Lepidosauria; Squamata; Elapidae
Description: oha-miR-122-3p
Gene: oha-miR-122-3p
Source: miRBase by way of RNAcentral
CAAACGCCAUUAUCACACU